GAUGAACGCUGGCUACAGGCUUAACACAUGCAAGUCGAGGGGAAACGACGGGGAAGCUUGCUUCCCCGGGCGUCGACCGGCGCACGGGUGAGUAACGCGUAUCCAACCUGCCUCUGACUGAGGGAUAACCCGUCGAAAGUCGGCCUAAUACCUCAUGGCAUCGUCUGCGGGCAUCCAACGACGAUUAAAGAUUUCAUCGGUUAGGGAUGGGGAUGCGUCUGAUUAGCUUGUUGGCGGGGUAACGGCCCACCAAGGCUACGAUCAGUAGGGGUUCUGAGAGGAAGGUCCCCCACAUUGGAACUGAGACACGGUCCAAACUCCUACGGUAGGCAGCAGUGAGGAAUAUUGGUCAAUGGGCGAGAGCCUGAACCGGCUGAGUAGCGUGCAGGAAGACGGCCUGAUGGGUUGUAAACGGCUUUUAUGUGGGGAGUAAGGGAAGGAGGUGUCUUUCAUUGCAGGUGCCGCAAGAUAAGGACCGUCUAAUUCUGUGGGGCAGCCGCGGGAUACGGGUGGCCCGGUUGUGUUCGGGAUUAUUGGGUUUAGGAGUGUGUUUUCUUUUGUUUGUGGUUUUUGUUUUUGGAGUGCUGGAGUCUGUUGUGGUGGUUUGCUGGUCGCUUGUGUGUGCAAUGGUUGUGAGUGGUGUGUGUGGGGUGGUUUGUGGUGGUGGACUAUGAUGUCCUGUUGUUGUGUCUUCUGUUGUGGCAUAUGGGUGUAUGUGUGUGUGUGGGUUUGUGUACGCUAUGUGUUGCCUGGUUGCUAGUUGUGUAUUGAUGUGAAUUGGUUUGUGUGUUUCGGUGGAUGUGUAAAAAAGAAAAAAAAAAAAAUGUAUGAUGAUAUGGUUUCGUGGUUGUGUAUUGACAUCUGGCUGUGUUGUAGUGUGAUGUGUUUGUGUUUGUGUGUUGUGUGGUGUGGUUGUGUAAUGUGUGUGUAGUGUGUUGUAGGUGU
This 945-nucleotide ribosomal RNA is filed under the name uncultured Enterobacteriaceae bacterium. RNAcentral describes it as "partial 16S ribosomal RNA". The stretch from base 1 to 526 matches the Rfam family "Bacterial small subunit ribosomal RNA", at positions 28 to 545 of the family's 1533-position model. The record is from RNAcentral. Lineage: Bacteria; Pseudomonadati; Pseudomonadota; Gammaproteobacteria; Enterobacterales; Enterobacteriaceae.